Molecule: long non-coding RNA, 1149 nt
Organism: Daphnia pulicaria
Lineage: Eukaryota; Metazoa; Arthropoda; Branchiopoda; Diplostraca; Daphniidae
Exons: 12
Source: RefSeq, a predicted model, not a curated record
GAAGUGCCAUCGUCUUUGAUUUUCAUUGUAUACUCAAUCUUCAAUUUGCUAACACUUUGAAAUCUUACGUGCCAGGUAGUGGACAAGUGCAGUGGGUUGGAGGAAUAAGGGAUGUGGUGCCUUGUCGAUGAAAUAUUUUGAAGGGCGACUCCUGACCUCACUUGGUUUUGCAAUGGCUAGUUGUAUCUUCUAGAGUUUGCUGUUUUUAAUGUAAUCAAGGAAUUAAGAGAAGAUUAGACAUUUCGUAGACGAUGGAAGUCGACUGUUCCGGCUAUGGAGGAGGCAGUGGGUGUGCUUUACACUAGACGAAAUACAAUCAUGAAGGUGUUUGCGAUUCUUCGGUAAGUGGACAGUUUUAAUGGUUUCUUUUGGAUUUUUGUGAUGAACAACAGUUUCCUGUGUUUCUGACAACCAUGAAGACCCACUCGAGUCCCUGAUAAUUCAGGCUUUUUAAUAUCAUUUAAUUGGCUGUAAACAAAUAUUGACGAUUUGUUUACUUUGUUUAUUCAGGUUGGCUUGUUCAACAACCGCAGUCGAUUGUUGAGCUACUGGGCCGAAAACAAUCGAGUUUCAUUUUCUUUCGUUUCGAAUAGUUUGCUGCUGGUGAUUUCAUGAUCUACGUAAUAGGUUAUGUGGUACUGCUUCUUGGUCAAUGUCAUUGGAAUCCGAGGAGUUCAUAUUAUACAAGAUGGACUGGUUUAUUGUUCGGUGUUUUUUUUUUUGCCGACGUCAUCUUCAUAGGAUACUAGAUUGCUCGGCCGUUGGUCUUGGAUUACUUGGUCGGUGGGGCGAUUGGUGGGUCUGAUUACGGCCUAUUUGAAAGAUCGUUGGAGAUUUUGUGUAUUGACGUUUUCGUGAUAAAUGCCUGUUAUCGAGGUAUAUGCAUGUGCGACGCUGGAUUUAAUAGUGUCGUCCUAGGUAGUUCUGAGGUGUCAAUUUUCGAUCCGUUGCUUUAUGUCCGUGGGAUGGUAUGGAAUUUUGAAACUUGCUAAAAGGAUGUCGCAGUUUUGAAGGUGUUUGGAUUUGAAUCGUGUAAUAAAGUUUCGAUAUUAUGGACGAAAAAUUCAAUGAUAAUAUAGUGCGAGAUGCGAGGAAUAUUAGUGCUGUAUUCAAUACAACUGAACAAUGGAUAAAUUUGAAUGAUCUGUG